UACGUAGGGUGCAAGCGUUGUCCGGAAUUAUUGGGCGUAAAGAGCUCGUAGGCGGUUUGUCGCGUCGAAUGUGAAAACCCGGGGCUCAACUCCGGGCCUGCAUUCGAUACGGGCAGACUAGAGUUCGGUAGGGGAGUCUGGAAUUCCUGGUGUAGCGGUGAAAUGCGCAGAUAUCAGGAGGAACACCGGUGGCGAAGGCGGGUCUCUGGGCAGUAACUGACGCUGAGGAGCGAAAGCGUGGGGAGCGAACAGG
RNAcentral lists this ribosomal RNA (253 nucleotides) under uncultured bacterium. Its description in RNAcentral is "partial 16S ribosomal RNA". It matches the Rfam family "Bacterial small subunit ribosomal RNA", at positions 524 to 776 of the family's 1533-position model. The record is from RNAcentral.